CAGGCCUAACACAUGCAAGUCGAACGAAGGCUUCGGCCUUAGUGGCGCACGGGUGCGUAACGCGUGGGAAUCUGCCCUUGGGUUCGGAAUAACAGCGAGAAAUUGCUGCUAAUACCGGAUGAUGACGUAAGUCCAAAGAUUUAUCGCCCAGGGAUGAGCCCGCGUAGGAUUAGCUAGUUGGUGAGGUAAAGGCUCACCAAGGCGACGAUCCUUAGCUGGUCUGAGAGGAUGAUCAGCCACACUGGGACUGAGACACGGCCCAGACUCCUACGGGAGGCAGCAGUGGGGAAUAUUGGACAAUGGGCGAAAGCCUGAUCCAGCAAUGCCGCGUGAGCGAUGAAGGCCUUAGGGUUGUAAAGCUCUUUUACCCGGGAUGAUAAUGACAGUACCGGGAGAAUAAGCUCCGGCUAACUCCGUGCCAGCAGCCGCGGUAAU
Molecule: ribosomal RNA, 435 nt
Filed under: uncultured bacterium
Lineage: Bacteria
Description: bacterial SSU rRNA
Rfam family: Bacterial small subunit ribosomal RNA
Source: RNAcentral